AUAGCUACUAGAUGGCGCUGUCCCUAGCAAAGCAGACGACGAUUCGGAAGGAAAAGUAAAAAUUAUAAUGGUGAAGAACACAACAGAAUUGGUCAAGUAGUGCUGUAAUCCUUUUAACUGUAAAAUUGACUAAAAGCAACACGAGAAGAGGAAUGGAAUCGGUUUGAAACAACGUGAGUGUCUACGCCAUCGAUCCAAUGGAAUUAGGAGGAGUCUGCUCUACCCACGUUUUAAUGGCGGAGGAAGGAGGGGACUUACUACAUCACCAAGUAAAUCGACGACGCUGUUCGGCUGUAGUUUCUGCUUUCCUGUAAGCGUCGGUUUCGAGCCGUGUCCAUGGCAAUGCAGUCGAGUGAUUCUGUACGUCGCAAUCCCGCCUAUGGUGUAGGCAACCGGAAGCGCCAUUCUUGCGGCCAACAAUCAACGGGAUGGUCAACAACAUCAUUUUUAGUUGUUCUGCCUGUCACAAAACGGGCACGGAGUUUCUAAUUGAUAGUCGUCUUUCACUCGUGACGGUAUUUAUUCGCAGACAUACAGUACGAUUUCUGUGAUGUUUUCCCAUACUUAUUUUCAUGCCAUAACGCAGUAGGCCUAGUCGCUUCCCCUUAGUUUUUAAUGAGCUACUUUUUGCCAAUCAUU
This is a long non-coding RNA of Daphnia pulex (common water flea), 639 nucleotides long. RefSeq lists it as uncharacterized. NCBI's taxonomy places the organism in Eukaryota, Metazoa, Arthropoda, Branchiopoda, Diplostraca, Daphniidae. The transcript is spliced from 3 exons. The record is from RefSeq and is a predicted model, not a curated record.